RNAcentral lists this ribosomal RNA (505 nucleotides) under uncultured Actinomycetes bacterium. Its description in RNAcentral is "bacterial SSU rRNA". It matches the Rfam family "Bacterial small subunit ribosomal RNA", at positions 355 to 871 of the family's 1533-position model. The record is from RNAcentral. Lineage: Bacteria; Bacillati; Actinomycetota; Actinomycetes.
UGGGGAAUAUUGCGCAAUGGGCGAAAGCCUGACGCAGCGACGCCGCGUGUGGGAUGACGGCCCUCGGGUUGUAAACCCCUUUCGGCAGGGACGAAGCGAAAGUGACGGUACCUGCAGAAGAAGCUCCGGCUAACUACGUGCCAGCAGCCGCGGUAAGACGUAGGGAGCGAGCGUUGUCCGGAUUCAUUGGGCGUAAAGCGCGCGCAGGCGGCCAGGCAAGUCGGGUGUGAAACUCCGGGGCUCAGCCCCGGACCUGCACCCGAUACUGCUUGGCUAGAGGUAGGUAGGGGAGAUCGGAAUUCCUGGUGUAGCGGUGAAAUGCGCAGAUAUCAGGAGGAACACCGGUGGCGAAGGCGGAUCUCUGGGCCUUACCUGACGCUCAGGCGCGAAAGCUAGGGGAGCGAACAGGAUUAGAUACCCUGGUAGUCCUAGCCGUAAACGUUGGGUGCUAGGUGUAGGCGGAUAUUGACCCGUCCGUGCCGAAGCUAACGCAUUAAGCACCCCG